UAUAAGUCUAUGUUUCAUACUCUCGCUCAGUCAUGAAAAACCGAAUAUCAUGAGUGGCAACUACAUUGAAAUUUGAGGUUGGAGAUUCGAGAUUUCAGAGCUGAAAUUUGAAAUUGGAGAUGAGAUCUUAGAUUUGAGAAAGGACUAUGAAAAUAUUCGGACCUAAAUGUUUUGCGGAUGAAAAUUUCAAUGAAGCUGCAUCUGUGGUAUCACAACAAUGCCCUUGCAAGUACAAGAUGCCUCGAGAGAAUCGGACCGUCCGUUGGACAAAACGAUUCUUCGGUAUAUAUACGUAUGUAAAAACGCGUCGCACUUUUAUUUAGAAAAAAAAAAAAAACGGAUGUGAACGUGUGCCAAUCAUAAAAGAGAAAAGUUCCGAUCGGCGAUUGAGGGAUUACAUAAAAAUUUUGGUCCUUUGCCCGUCGCUCUCAUUUGUUGCUUACGCAUUUGUUCUCCACGCUCAUGAUCGCACGAGAGGAAGACGAACGAGUCGAACACGCGCAAACGCGCGCGCAACAAACGCAGCAUCGUGUGUAUGUACGUAGUAAUAAUAAUAUUCACAUCGCAUCGCAUCGAAAUUUUCUAAAGGCCUCCGUUACCUUUGCAGCUGCACUCUCCGGGCAUUUCCGUUUUUUUUUCUUUUUUUGAAAUUAAGAGAGAUUUUUAUCAAAAUAAAUUUUUAACAAAUCACAUAGCAGCCCAAUAAAUACCUUAAAACGUCUAACAGCGUUAUCGUCUACUGUUUCACGAUAUUAUUUAUAAUAUAUAUAAAAAAUUCGGGAGAGAAGGAAGAAGACGGGAAAGAAGAGAGAGAAACUUUGUGUUAUUAUGCUUCUUACAGAUCGAGCUAUCUUUUCAAACAAAAAUAGCCAGAUGUACUAAAAAGAAGAAAAGGAAGAGGAAAGAAAUAAUGCAUUAAAAGAUACUUUGUUACACACUGUAAGUAAAUAAUAAUUAGGUACUCAUCUGUCAUGGAAGAGAGAUCGCGUCAAGUAUAACAACAAUGUCGUUAAUUUAUAAUCAAAGUAUUAAAAAGAAUCUACAUUAAGAGAGAGAAGAUUAUACAUACAAUUAUAGGAUACAAUGUUACCAAAAUAGUCACUUUUGCGUAACCGUUUGUUUCGUUCAAAUCUUUAGAAAUUUCAUGAGCAAAAUUUCCAGGUUCGUGCAAAUUCAGAAUAAUUCACAAAAUUGAUAAGUUUUAAAAUUUUGUAUUCUCAAGAAGAAAACAGUUUGCAACAGCAGAACAUUUGCAAUAUCGUGCAGUCAAUUGUUUGAUUCAUAAUUCCAAAAACCGUUUUGUCUUCUCGCAGUUGAGAAAUAAAAUCAACCAACAAGUGAUCUUAAUUUCUCUCUGCUUGUUUCGUUUUCUUCUCUCUAAAAAUUUCACAUUUUUAUUCUAUUUAGUCAUUGUUAUUCUUGGAAGUUUAUCGAUAAAAAAAAAAAAACUCAGCUUUACUCUAUAUACGCUCGAGUUCGCAUAAUAUCCGCGUGCGCGCAGGCUGAUGCAUGUUCAUAUCACCCACAAAAAAGUCAGUCCGCAUGUUUGUUAAAAAACACAAAAAAGCAAGUAAAAUAAAAGAAAUCAAUCUCGUUACAAAAAUGAAUUAUUAUGAUGAAGGAGGCGAGGGUUCGGAAGGACGGGAAAAGAUCUGAUCCGAAAUAUUUCAGGAGACGAAGUAGCCACGUCAACAGCAACAAAGACGUUUUUCACAAGAGAGCUUUGUUUUCUUCGUCGCAGCUACAUCGCGCAACGCCUAUAAUGUCCAUUUACACUAUUACUAUUCAACAAUUCAAAAUACUUAUGAUACACACAACCUUGAAUAAUCUCAUAACAGCUGCUGUGGCAUUAUUAGCCCGAACUAACUUACGCAUUACAUCAUAUAGAUACAAAAGUAAUUUCUCGCUAUUGCUAAAAAUUCGCACGUGUGUUUUUUAUUUCAUUGUCAGUUUUUUUUUUAUUUUAUUUUUAUAACGCUCUUGACUGAUCUUUUUUUUUUUUCAUCAGUUGAAAUAUCCUCGUGUAUCUGCUCUAUUGCUCUGGCAAAGACACACAUUCUUUUCUCCCACGUAACUCUCGAAGUACAAUGUAACUAAAAUAGGCGAAUUAUGUUGCUCAUGCCAAAGUCAAUUUUGUAAAAAGAAAACAAAACCAAAAAAAUCUUUUUCGUAUUGGAGAUUUGCUCCUCGAACAAUGAUAGAUAUUAAAACGUGAAAAAAUUAACAUUCAAGAAAUUUCUAAACAUGUCAAGAUAAUAAUGUCCAAUCAGAGCAAAUCUUGCAUUAAAAGUAAAACAUGUCAGUGAACUCGUUCAUUCACAGUGAACUCUGAGCAUUUUAACAAUUUCAUUUCAGGAAGGAAUAAUAUAUCCUCUACAGAAACAUACGUGACAAAUUAUGUCCUUUAUAAUUUUUUGAGCACAGUACAGCGCGCGAAGAUAAAUCUAUUCCAUUCAUUUUUUUGUUUUUUUUGUUUUUUGGCACUCAUUAUCUGAGCUGCGUAUUUUAGUUACAUCAUCAAGUUCGUUUCUGUUCAAAAAUAACGCAGUACACGAGAAUACCGCAAUAUAUAAAUUGCAGAGAUUUUACAACAGACAGUACUUUACAAUAGAGAGUAUGAAGAUUACUUUUUUUUUUUUUUUUUUGAUCAAUCGUCAAAGCUUCUUGCGAGUCGCCGACGCAACUCUGGUGCAAAAUAUAAAUCUGCGCGGUUACUCUCGCAAAUUUCAUCGCCACAUGUAUCGUAUCGUAUUUAUUACAUUCGCAAUAGAAAAAUAAUAUUCAGUCGGAUCAAUAGUUCGGAUUAAUACUUCAUUCUUUUUUUAAUUGAAAGGAAGAGCUCUUUGUGGACGUGUAAAUAGUCACGCAGUACACGAUGGCGUCAAAGCUAAACCGAACUGGUAAUGGUCAACUUAACAACAUGCAAUUAUGCGUCAUCCGCAGAAAGUUGCUCUCUGCGGACUUCUCAAGGCUCUUAGACAACCGAUCUAGUCACAUUGAAUUAUGAUGUCACACACGCACACACACAGAAGCGAGAUGUAGUUCAAUUUCUCUCUUCGUAUAAUUUUACAUUCAAAAAAUACGCCAAUCUGUUUAAUCGCAUCGAGAGAAGAAGAACACUCUUCUCUCGGUUUAAAAAUCUGUAAGUGACUAAAAUCAAUUUUUUUUUCUUUCGUAUUACAUAUCGAAAAAAAUUACAUCAGGCUGCGAUGAUAAAUGCGCUCUCUCAUCGCGAGAUGAUUGACAAAAAAAAAAUCAGAACCAUUUCAGCUGCCGAGUUCAGUUCAACUCCGACGUCUCAAUCAAGCUCUUCCUCUUUCUGCGCAUACAUAUUAUUAUGUAUCUUAUAAAAAUUUCGUAUCGUACAAUGUUUCACAAUAAUGAAGUUUACGCUUCCGUCGAGGAACGGAUUAUUCGACGUUGCGUGAAUUCUCCGAAGGCGGGCAAAGGCACCCAAAGCGCCGACAACGCUGUUCGCGAAUCAAGGCGAAAUACAGGCAGAUAGAUGCGAAUAAAAAACGAGCAUUAAAGACAUACGAAUGCCUAAGUCGUAUCAUUACGAACUAAUUUCUCGAACCCUUACGUUCCCAGUGAAAUUGUCGCCGCGCUUAUUUUUAAUUUUAUUUUAAUCAUUUUAUUUUAUUUUAUUUUAUUUUUUUGGGAAAAACGUGAUACUUUUGCGUACACGAUUCCCCAGACGCCCGUGGGAAAGGAAGGGUUGUAGGCGGAAAAGCCUGCAUUGCGUGUGUUAUUUAAGUCACAUGAUAUUUAUAAUGUGAGAUAAUGUAAUAAAUUAUUAAGCCAGUCGAUCGCCGAAAUUCGCACGUAAAAGAUGCUGUGUACGCGCGUGUGUGUGUUUUUCUUCUCCGUGUGUACGUACGUAUGUAUAUGCAUGUAUAUUCAUGCAUGUAUGAAUGUGAGCGUGUGUAUGUAAUGUAUGCAUGUAUGCGUAUAUGUGAAAUAUAAUAAAUUAGCGUUUAAAUAAUAUUCCAAGGGGGAGGCGCACAGAAGGGAAAAAAACUGUAAAAAUAGACGUACAAAAAAACGAGAAGAAGGGGAGCAAGGGAGCGGGCAAGAAGGGAAGAGGAGCGAGGGAAGUGUGAAGUAAAUAAUAAUAAUUUAAUAAUUAAGUAAUUGUAUCAUCUUCACCUUCUUCGUGUCGGGGUUUUAAGUAUCGGUUAAACAAUCACUUAUCGACUAAAAUCAAACCCGUAGAAUACUGAUACAUAAAAAAAAAAAAAAAACAC
Pseudomyrmex gracilis is the source of this 4247-nucleotide long non-coding RNA. RefSeq lists it as uncharacterized. The record is from RefSeq and is a predicted model, not a curated record. The transcript has 2 exons. NCBI's taxonomy places the organism in Eukaryota, Metazoa, Arthropoda, Insecta, Hymenoptera, Formicidae.